RNAcentral lists this non-coding RNA (102 nucleotides) under Alteromonas confluentis. RNAcentral describes it as "TPP sequence". It matches the Rfam family "TPP riboswitch aptamer (THI element)". From Rfam's summary of the family: Vitamin B(1) in its active form thiamin pyrophosphate (TPP) is an essential coenzyme that is synthesised by coupling of pyrimidine and thiazole moieties in bacteria. The previously detected thiamin-regulatory element, thi box was extended, resulting in a new, highly conserved RNA secondary structure, the THI element, which is widely distributed in eubacteria and also occurs in some archaea. Lineage: Bacteria; Pseudomonadati; Pseudomonadota; Gammaproteobacteria; Alteromonadales; Alteromonadaceae. The record is from Rfam by way of RNAcentral.
CAUUAGGCCAAGGGGUGCCGGUUAACGGCUGAGAUCCAUUUCAUGGGAACCCUUAAACCUGAUCCGGAUAAUACCGGCGUAGGGAUGGUGAAAAAUUUGAUU